UACGGAGGAUGCAAGCGUUAUCCGGAUUCAUUGGGUUUAAAGGGUGCGUAGGCGGGCUAUUAAGUCAGUGGUGAAAUCCUGCAGCUUAACUGCAGAACUGCCGUUGAUACUGAUAGUCUUGAGUUUGGUUAAGGUAGGCGGAAUGUGUAAUGUAGCGGUGAAAUGCUUAGAUAUUACACAGAACACCAAUUGCGUAGGCAGCUUACUAAGCCGACACUGACGCUGAGGCACGAAAGCGUGGGGAUCAAACAGGAUUA
This 257-nucleotide ribosomal RNA is filed under the name uncultured prokaryote. Its description in RNAcentral is "partial 16S ribosomal RNA". It matches the Rfam family "Bacterial small subunit ribosomal RNA", at positions 524 to 780 of the family's 1533-position model. The record is from RNAcentral.